This 261-nucleotide ribosomal RNA is filed under the name uncultured bacterium. RNAcentral's name for it is "partial 16S ribosomal RNA". It matches the Rfam family "Bacterial small subunit ribosomal RNA", at positions 793 to 1055 of the family's 1533-position model. The record is from RNAcentral.
GUCCACGCCCUAACGAUGUCAACUGGUUGUUGGACGGCAUGCUGUUCAGUAACGAAGCUAACGCGUGAAGUUGACCGCCUGGGGAGUACGGCCGCAAGGUUGAAACUCAAAGGAAUUGACGGGACCCGCACAAGCGGUGGAUGAUGUGGUUUAAUUCGAUGCAACGCGAAAACCUUACCUACCCUUGACAUGCCAGGAACUUGCCAGAGAUGGCUUGGUGCUCGAAAGAGAACCUGGACACAGGUGCUGCAUGGCCGUCGU